RNAcentral lists this signal recognition particle RNA (264 nucleotides) under Metabacillus litoralis. RNAcentral describes it as "signal recognition particle sRNA large type". It matches the Rfam family "Bacterial large signal recognition particle RNA". Rfam says of the family: The signal recognition particle (SRP) is a universally conserved ribonucleoprotein involved in the co-translational targeting of proteins to membranes. Lineage: Bacteria; Bacillati; Bacillota; Bacilli; Caryophanales; Bacillaceae. RNAcentral also lists the same sequence under 1 other name. The record is from RNAcentral.
CCGUGCUAAGCGGGGAGGUAGCGGUGCCCUGUACUCGCAAUCCGCUCUAGCGAGGCCGAAUCCCUUCUAGAGGUUAGUGUACUGUAGGGCAGUCUCAAGUAAGUGGUGUUGACGCCUGGGUCCUACGCAAUGGGAAUCCAUGAACCAUGUCAGGUCCGGAAGGAAGCAGCAUUAAGUGGAAGCUCCCAUGUGCCGUAGGGUUGCCUAGGCCGAGCUAACUGCUUGAGCAACGCCUAUGGUUGCUAAUCGAAGGAAGGUGCACGG